This 617-nucleotide long non-coding RNA is filed under the name Pelobates cultripes (western spadefoot toad). Lineage: Eukaryota; Metazoa; Chordata; Amphibia; Anura; Pelobatidae. The record is from RNAcentral.
UAUUAGUGUUCUGACAAUGGAAAAGUUCCUAACCGCAUGUCUGUAUUACACCUAUGACACAGACUGUCAGUAUUGCAAACCCUAUGUGCUUUCACUGUUUAUGUAUACACCCCUAGACGACCGUGCUAUACAAACACAAUAAAUCUUCAAAAUCUUAUUAAUAUUAUAUCUGUGUGGUACACAAAUAGGUGUACACAAAGAGGGGUGUGAGUUAAGUCAUCUCGACCUUCAUAUGGAAUAUGCUUCCUCCUUGUUCACUUUUGGUCAAACUGUUGGUCUGUGACUGGCCCUCUUUGAACUGAAUUUCUUGGGAAGAUUCAUGAGAAAGAUACAGCAGGUUGUUUUGGAUAUAAAGAAAGAGGGAAAAGUAUGUUGUAUCGGUCACAAAAGGAUUGUGAUCUUAAGCAGGCGAGACAAAGAAAGUUUGGAGGUGAUAGAUUGAAUCAGAAAAGUUUUAGAGGCAGAGGUAGAGAAUUUGAUCAAAGGAUUUAACUUUUGUAGAGAUGGUAACUUCAGCACUGUUUUAAUUGUGGGUAGAAGGGAUUCACCCCAAGGUGCUUGUGUUCUCCUGGCCCAGCUGGCAUUCAAGGACUCCCACCCUGGCAGGUUCCUCAAUA